Molecule: non-coding RNA, 107 nt
Organism: Melanogaster broomeanus
Lineage: Eukaryota; Fungi; Basidiomycota; Agaricomycetes; Boletales; Melanogastraceae
Source: the annotation of a GenBank genome assembly
UCGGAUAUGGUGUAGCGGCUAACAUGGCUGUCUUUCAAGAUACUUGCGUAAUCAUCGAUUGCGUAGUGUGUUCACAGCAGCUCCGGGUUCGACUCCCGGUAUCCGAA